GGGUCUACCCAUUGGUCAGACUUAAUUGUCUGCACUGGUGAGAUGGAUCUCUACCUUCUGAGGAACUUUCAUGCCAUUAAUUUGGUGCGCCGGGGAAGCAGGACUGUUACCUUGAAAAAAUUAGAGUGCUUAAAGCAGGCUAUCGCCUGAAUACAUUAGCAUGGAAUAAUGAAAUAGGACGGCAUGGUUCUAUUUUGUCGGUUUCUAGGAUCACCGUA
RNAcentral lists this ribosomal RNA (218 nucleotides) under Campeiostachys nutans. Its description in RNAcentral is "Elymus nutans partial small subunit ribosomal RNA". The stretch from base 47 to 218 matches the Rfam family "Eukaryotic small subunit ribosomal RNA", at positions 692 to 864 of the family's 1831-position model. The record is from RNAcentral. Lineage: Eukaryota; Viridiplantae; Streptophyta; Magnoliopsida; Poales; Poaceae.